UAGGACACAGUGUAAAGGUAGCAUGAAGAAUUUUGAAUUCUUAGGAUUAGGUUCAAGUCCUAUGGUUCUAA
This is a non-coding RNA of Ictidomys tridecemlineatus (thirteen-lined ground squirrel), 71 nucleotides long. NCBI's taxonomy places the organism in Eukaryota, Metazoa, Chordata, Mammalia, Rodentia, Sciuridae. The record is from Rfam.